GUAGUCUGAGGAGUAUUGGUUGGUUCUCGUCCGAUCACCGAAGUUAAGCAAUGUCGGGCCCGGUCAGUACUUUUGGGAGGGUGUUUAUUAUCGUUUGUA
Non-coding RNA from Cordylochernes scorpioides, 99 nucleotides. The record is from the annotation of a GenBank genome assembly. Lineage: Eukaryota; Metazoa; Arthropoda; Arachnida; Pseudoscorpiones; Chernetidae.